AUGGCCAAGACUUGUGCUAAAGCUAAAGACUUCUUCGGAAUUAUCCAACGCAUAUAUACUAUAUUUGCUAAUUCUACUAAGAAGUGGCAUAUUCUGAAGGAGAACAUCACUGGAUUAACUCCCAAGUCAGUGUCAGCUACACGUUGGGAGAGUCGUGUUGACAGUGUUAAAGCUAUUCGACUUCAAUGUGCAGAGAUUCGGGAGGCCCUACUUCAGGUACCCAAUUUUUUCAUAUUAUAA
This 240-nucleotide ribosomal RNA is filed under the name Triticum aestivum (bread wheat). Its description in RNAcentral is "partial small subunit ribosomal RNA". Lineage: Eukaryota; Viridiplantae; Streptophyta; Magnoliopsida; Poales; Poaceae. The record is from RNAcentral.